This 460-nucleotide ribosomal RNA is filed under the name uncultured bacterium. RNAcentral's name for it is "partial 16S ribosomal RNA". It matches the Rfam family "Bacterial small subunit ribosomal RNA", at positions 338 to 795 of the family's 1533-position model. The record is from RNAcentral.
CCUACGGGUGGCAGCAGUGAGGAAUAUUGGUCAAUGGUCGAGAGCCUGAACCAGCCAAGUAGCGUGAAGGAUGACUGCCCUACGGGUUGUAAACUUCUUUUAUAAGGGAAUAAAGUGAGGCACGUGUGCCCUUUUGUAUGUACUUUAUGAAUAAGGAUCGGCUAACUCCGUGCCAGCAGCCGCGGUAAUACGGAGGAUCCGAGCGUUAUCCGGAUUUAUUGGGUUUAAAGGGAGCGUAGAUGGGUUGUUAAGUCAGUGGUGAAAGUUUGCGGCUCAACCGUAAAAUUGCAAUUGAUACUGGCAGUCUUGAGUACAGUUGAGGUAGGCGGAAUUCGUGGUGUAGCGGUGAAAUGCUUAGAUAUCACGAAGAACUCCGAUUGCGAAGGCAGCUCACUAAACUGCCACUGACACUGAUGCUCGAAAGUGUGGGUAUCAAACAGGAUUAGAUACCCGAGUAGUC